CGUAGGAUAACUGAGGGGAGCUGUCCUUAGUACGAGAGGACCGGGAUGGACGGACCGCUGGUGUACCUGUUGGCGACCAACGCCACGGCAGGGUAGCCAAGUCCGGCAGGGAUAAACGCUGAAGGCAUCUAAGCGUGAAGCCUCCCCCGAGAUGAGUUAUCCGCUGCGUAAGCGGUAAGACCCCUUGAAGACUACAAGGUAGAUAGGGCAUGGGUGUAAGUGCAGCAAUGUAUUAAGCUGAAUGCCACUAAUAGGUCGA
Molecule: non-coding RNA, 259 nt
Filed under: Lachnospiraceae bacterium MD335
Lineage: Bacteria; Bacillati; Bacillota; Clostridia; Lachnospirales; Lachnospiraceae
Description: Lachnospiraceae bacterium COE1 Bacterial large subunit ribosomal RNA
Rfam family: Bacterial large subunit ribosomal RNA
Source: Rfam by way of RNAcentral